Microcebus murinus (gray mouse lemur) is the source of this 1309-nucleotide non-coding RNA. NCBI's taxonomy places the organism in Eukaryota, Metazoa, Chordata, Mammalia, Primates, Cheirogaleidae. The record is from RefSeq and is a predicted model, not a curated record.
AGUGAGAAAAGGAGGACAGUGAAGCAACCCCAAGUUCUUUCCUGAUACAAAAAGUACAGGCAGACUGACUGCAAAGCAGGCUCUACCAGAGAGAGGCUCUUGCUUUUGUUCGUCCGAACUCCUGAGUUUAAGCAGUCCUCCCGCUUUGGCCUCCCAGAGUACAAGAAUUACAGGCGUGAGCCAUGGCUGCCAGCCAUCUAAAGAGUUUUUAAAAGUGCAAGAAGGAAGCAGAAGAUGAGAGUCUGAGGGAGAUAGAUGUGACUACUCAGGAAUAGUCAAGAGAGGUUUAACCUCAUUGGCUUUCAAGAUGGAGAAAGAGGGUCACGAGCCAAGGAAUGUGGGUGGCCUCUAGAAGAGGAAGAGGUGAAGAAACAGAUUCACCCUGUGGACCUCCAGAGAAGAACACAACCCUGCUGACAUCUUCAUUUUAGCCUGGUGAGAUCCAUAUUGAACUUCUGAUCUUCAGAACGAAAAUUUAGACCUGCCCUGUUAUGCAAGCUGUUUAUUGUGGGUGAAAGUGCUACAUGCAGCUCUUAGCCAUGGGCAUUGGGAAAGGCUCCUGGGAAGAACUCCAACCUUUAUGACCCGAUAUAUAAUGAAGGACUCUUCAGGAAACUCCAGGAGAUUUGUGAGGUCUGUGGGCUCCACUGCAUCCAGAUCAACCUUUUCAUAGGGAUGUAAAAGACCCCCAAACUCUUUGGACUAAUUGGAGCAAUAAUAACUAACAACAGUAACACUUUUUGAGUACUUGAUAGUAUCAGGUUCAUUCAACAUGACAACCUGCCAACCACCCUUUGAGGUAGGUAUUUUUGCUACCCCCACUUUACAGAAAAGAAAACUGAAACAUGCAGUGGUUAAGUCACACAUCCGAAAUCAUACAGCUGGGAAGUGGUCAGCCAGGAGUUGAACCCAAGAAUAAGAAGAUUGGAUCCAAAGCCUCUUAAACACUCCACUACCUGUCCUAGUGUUAGGAGACCUAGGAUCCAGCCACACUCCUACUGACUACAGGACAAGGACUGAACAAGAAAGGAAAAUGACGAAGUUAAAUGACUAAACUAUGGGCUCAUGACCUGCACUGAAAGUACGAACUUCCUAUGACUGAGCAAAAAGAAAUUCUUAUCUUUUGCAACCACAGAGCAGGAGUUGAAAAUUAAAAGCACAACUUGUUCCAGUGGAUUGCCAAGUCACCUUGCCAGUUAACUUCAUAGCCUUGCCAUAUCUUUGCAUGAAAUUUAGGGCAUUGACUGUCAUUUCUAUAUCUGUAACACUUAGGAAAGAGCCUGGCCCUCACCCAAUAAAUCCUUGUGAA